UACGUAGGGACCAAGCGUUGUUCGGAUUUACUGGGCGUAAAGGGCGCGUAGGCGGCAAUUCAAGUCAUCUGUGAAAUCUCCGGGCUUAACUCGGAAUGGUCAGGUGAUACUGCUUUGCUAGAGUGCAGAAGGGGCAAUCGGAAUUCUUGGUGUAGCGGUGAAAUGCGUAGAUAUCAAGAGGAACACCUGAGGUGAAGACGGGUUGCUGGGCUGACACUGACGUGAGGCGCGAAAGCUAGGGGGGAGCAAAACGGGG
RNAcentral lists this ribosomal RNA (256 nucleotides) under uncultured bacterium. RNAcentral's name for it is "partial 16S ribosomal RNA". It matches the Rfam family "Bacterial small subunit ribosomal RNA", at positions 524 to 778 of the family's 1533-position model. The record is from RNAcentral.